Ooceraea biroi (clonal raider ant) is the source of this 2358-nucleotide long non-coding RNA. RefSeq lists it as uncharacterized. The record is from RefSeq and is a predicted model, not a curated record. Lineage: Eukaryota; Metazoa; Arthropoda; Insecta; Hymenoptera; Formicidae.
UUGUACGUGCCGUGAGUAGGGGGCGCCCACGGACGGAACAUGUGUAACGCGCAGUCUUGAUUACACGCGGGCUUGUAAAAAUUAUUAUUAUGGCCGCGCGCUACGUUCCACGCCGCGCCGCAACCGGCUGCACGGGAUACGGCCGAUUUUCCGCGCCCUCGUCACAGGGUGAUUCUCCCUCGAGCGGCCUGAUAGCUUUUGGUGCAUGAGUUACACGGAAUGCGACGUUUCCUUAAUGAUCAUUCAUCGAUUUUCAAGUGCACACUGUGUCUUCAGAAAGCAAUGGAUCUUUCAGUUUUACUGGUAACCUGUGAUUAAUAUUUUUAGUCAGUUAUUUUUGUUAUAUUAUCACAUCGAUUUAUAGUUGCAAUUAAAACGAACAAUUUCGGUUUAAUUCGUAACAAAAUAUCCAAAAUAUACAAUUCAUUAGUUAAAGUUAAACUAAUUAUAGUUGGAGGUAAAUGCUUCGAUAUUAUUGGAAUUGUGCAAUGUUGCGUUAUCGUUAUAUGGUAUUAUGCCGCAAACUCGACACAAAGUAUAUAAAGAAAAUGCACGUUUUACAUGCAUGACUAGCGCCAAGUGCAUAAUUUGCAUAUCUGACUAAAAACGCGAGCAUCCCCGCUGCCGCGUGAUACUCCGCGAAAAGCCCGAAUCGCGUAAUGAAAAGGCAUCAUUGAUCGGAAGCUUGGCGAAACACUGCCGUUCAAUGAACACAUACACGACGUAUCCAUGUCGAUUCCUCGUCAUUGGGUGGAAGGAAAAAAUCAUUGCAUAGCAUUCCAUGCCAGUGAAUCGGAGCAACAGCCUAUGCUUCAUUUCUACCUAAAUAAUCAUAGCCCAUCGUCAAAUGCGUUCCAGCCAUUAUACACGAAGCCUCGAUGUAAUUACCAAUAUGCAACCUAACGAUACCGCAAUUACUAAGUAAUAACUCAUGUUGCUAUCAAGCUUAUACCUUGGCAUUUAAAAAGGACUUCUUUGUGACGCCACAAUCGACGUAUAAUUCUACGCAAGGUUAUUCAUUUGAUCCAUUCGAUGAUUUGCUGAGAUAUCAAUUUGGGACCAACUCGAGAUUACGACACGCGUGUCCCACGCAAAGAAGAUGACGCUUCUUGUCGAACCGCGUCAUGUGUUAUGCUCGAUCCACGAGUCCGGUUUGUGCGACCGAUGAAUACAACCUGGCUUCCCUGGUUUCUGGUCGAAGUGGGGCUAACCGCAGAAUCGGAGGCAAGAUGGCAAAAGUAAGUCGAGAGUCGAGGGGCGGUGCUGCUGCCUGACCAGCCCACUGGCGGCAUCCACGUUCUCCUCUCUCCCUGUAGGAGCUAAGAUCGUCGGAGAACAUUCUCGAAGAGAAGACACCAGACAGCUUUUAGCUGGUUCAUAAAAUACAUGCCGCUGAUGUAAUUCUACAUUCGCAGACAGGGAAAAAACGCAAGAAAUAGUAUGCAGACUCCUGUGAAACGCGAAAUUACGUUGCGACCUCGAAAAACAAUUCUUCGCCAUUUAUAAGAAAAUUCAGAAUAAAUUUUAUCUAAUUUAAGAUAGGUCAUUUUCUACUCUCUCCAGUUUUUUUCUAUUAAUUUUUAUAACAAAUUUUGAUGAUUACAGAUAAUAGUAGCAAACAACGCGAAACCAAUUGAUUCUCGAGGAAGAAAGGAAAAUAAUUAUACAGCAAAGGGAAGAAAUAAAUUAAAAAUAAAUAAAGGAUGGAAAUAAUUCAGCGGCGAGGCAAGCACAUUCGAUAUCAAGCAAGUCGCAGGACCUCUACGGAGGAUGUCAUUGACUUCCAGAUUGUGGGGACCGGCAAAAUCCAAAAAUCCUUUGGAACACUCCGUAAAAGGCCAGAAUAAACAUUUCCUGAACGGUUAGUAGCUGCGUGGUGUGAGAGCGAGGGGCGGGUUGAAGGGGGCUUGCGGUUUCGGCGGGGGUGGUUGCAGACUCCCGAAGAGCGAGCGAGAGAACAGUAGGGAUGGGUGGUACACGCACGGCAGAAGAAGACGGCUUCUCGAGCAACUAAAAGUAGUUACUAAAAGCCGAACGCAGAGGGAAACAGGGAAAGGGUGUUGUUCUUCGUUGGAACAAAUGUUGCGAUUCUUUGCAGACGCGAGCGCGAUAUUGCACAGUGUGUUUAAUGAAUAAAACUUUAACGCGGAAAGCUAUCGGAGAGAAUCGAACUCGAACUCGAAAACGACAUGCGAACUUGAAGGAAGCAGCAACAAUAUGGUGUAACAGCAAAUAUUGCAUUUCACGUUGUAAAUCGUAAAAUCGUGUAGAGCGAAAACUUUGCUUGCGUGAUAUAUAUGUAUAUAUAUAAAAUAAUAAAUAUACAUUGCAAUAUUUUGCAAUGUAUAUUGCAAUAUU